AGUGAACGCUGGCGGUAGGCCUAACACAUGCAAGUCGAACGGCAGCACAGUAAGAGCUUGCUCUUACGGGUGGCGAGUGGCGGUCGGGUGAGGUAUACAUCGGAAUCUACUUUUUCGUGGGGGAUAACGUAGGGAAACUUACGCUAAUACCGCAUACGACCUACGGGUGAAAGCAGGGGAUCUUCGGACCUUGCGCGAUUGAAUGAGCCGAUGUCGGAUUAGCUAGUUGGCGGGGUAACGGCCCACCAAGGCGACGAUCCGUAGCUGGUCUGAGAGGAUGAUCAGCCACACUGGAACUGAGACACGGUCCAGACUCCUACGGGAGGCAGCAGUGGGGAAUAUUGGACAAUGGGCGCAAGCCUGAUCCAGCCAUACCGCGUGGGUGAAGAAGGCCUUCGGGUUGUAAAGCCCUUUUGUUGGGAAAGAAAAGCAGCAGGUUAAUACCCCGCUGUUCUGACGGUACCCAAAGAAUAAGCACCGGCUAACUUCGUG
RNAcentral lists this ribosomal RNA (492 nucleotides) under uncultured bacterium. Its description in RNAcentral is "partial 16S ribosomal RNA". It matches the Rfam family "Bacterial small subunit ribosomal RNA", at positions 29 to 507 of the family's 1533-position model. The record is from RNAcentral.